UGCUGCAUGGCUGUCGUCAGCUCGUGUCGUGAGAUGUUGGGUUAAGUCCCGCAACGAGCGCAACCCUCAUCCUUAGUUGCCAUCACGUUUGGGUGGGCACUCUAAGGAAACUGCCGGUGGCAAGCCGGAGGAAGGUGGGGAUGACGUCAAGUCCUCAUGGCCCUUACGGGUAGGGCUACACACGUGCUACAAUGGCAGUGACAAUGGGAUAAUCCCAAAAAGCUGUCUCAGUUCGGAUUGUCGUCUGCAACUCGACGGCAUGAAGGUGGAAUCGCUAGUAAUCGUGGAUCAGCAUGCCACGGUGAAUACGUUCCCGGGCCUU
RNAcentral lists this ribosomal RNA (322 nucleotides) under uncultured Hyphomonas sp. RNAcentral's name for it is "bacterial SSU rRNA". It matches the Rfam family "Bacterial small subunit ribosomal RNA", at positions 1039 to 1382 of the family's 1533-position model. The record is from RNAcentral. Lineage: Bacteria; Pseudomonadati; Pseudomonadota; Alphaproteobacteria; Hyphomonadales; Hyphomonadaceae.